GAUUCCGUAGCUCAGCUGGUAGAGCAUUACACUUUUAAUGUAAGGGUCCUGAGUUCGAACCUCAGCGGGAUCACAA
Molecule: transfer RNA, 76 nt
Filed under: Brumimicrobium aurantiacum
Lineage: Bacteria; Pseudomonadati; Bacteroidota; Flavobacteriia; Flavobacteriales; Crocinitomicaceae
Description: tRNA-Lys
Rfam family: tRNA
About the family: Transfer RNA (tRNA) molecules are approximately 80 nucleotides in length. Their secondary structure includes four short double-helical elements and three loops (D, anti-codon, and T loops).
Source: RNAcentral